This 433-nucleotide ribosomal RNA is filed under the name uncultured bacterium. Its description in RNAcentral is "partial 16S ribosomal RNA". It matches the Rfam family "Bacterial small subunit ribosomal RNA", at positions 29 to 507 of the family's 1533-position model. The record is from RNAcentral.
AACGAACGCUGGCGGCAUGCCUAACACAUGCAAGUCGAACGAGACCUUCGGGUCUAGUGGCGCACGGGUGCGUAACGCGUGGGAACCUGCCCUUAGGUUCGGAAUAACUCCCCGAAAGGGGUGCUAAUACCGGAUAAUGUCUUCGGACCAAAGAUUUAUCGCCUUUGGAUGGGCCCGCGUUGGAUUAGCUAGUUGGUAGGGUAAAAGCCUACCAAGGCGACGAUCCAUAGCUGGUCUGAGAGGAUGAUCAGCCACACUGGGACUGAGACACGGCCCAAACUCCUACGGGAAGCAGCAGUGGGGAAUAUUGGACAAUGGGCGAAAGCCUGAUCCAGCAAUGCCGCGUGAGUGAUGAAGGCCUUAGGGUUGUAAAGCUCUUUUACCCGGGAUGAUAAUGACAGUACCGGGAGAAUAAGCUCCGGCUAACUCCGUG